RNAcentral lists this ribosomal RNA (511 nucleotides) under uncultured Entrophospora. RNAcentral describes it as "SSU rRNA". It matches the Rfam family "Eukaryotic small subunit ribosomal RNA", at positions 569 to 1078 of the family's 1831-position model. Lineage: Eukaryota; Fungi; Glomeromycota; Glomeromycetes; Entrophosporales; Entrophosporaceae. The record is from RNAcentral.
AGCAGCCGCGGUAAUUCCAGCUCCAAUAGCGUAUAUUAAAGUUGUUGCAGUUAAAAAGCUCGUAGUUGAAUUUCGGGAUUGACGUGAUGGUCGUGCCUUAAGGGGUAUGAACUGUCGCAGUUGAUUUCUCACCUUCUGGAGAAGCUUGAUGUCCUUAAUUGGGUGUCAUGUGGAACCAGGACCUUUACCUUGAAAAAAUUAGAGUGUUUAAAGCAGGCAUUUUGCUCGAAUACAUUAGCAUGGAAUAAUAGAAUAGGACGGCAUGGUUCUAUUUUGUUGGUUUCUAGGAUCACCGUAAUGAUUAAUAGGGAUAGUUGGGGGCAUUAGUAUUCAAUUGUCAGAGGUGAAAUUCUUGGAUUUAUUGAAGACUAACUACUGCGAAAGCAUUUGCCAAGGAUGUUUUCAUUAAUCAAGAACGAAAGUUAGGGGAUCGAAGACGAUCAGAUACCGUCGUAGUCUUAACCAUAAACCUAUGCCGACUAGGGAUCGGAUGAUGUUAAUUUUUAAUGUA